AGAGUUUGAUCCUGGCUCAGGAUAAACGCUGGCGGCGUGCCUAAUACAUGCAAGUCGAUCGAUAGAAGUCCAGCUUGCUGGACGGAAAUAGAGGCGAACGGGUGAGUAAUACGUAAGCAACCUGCCCACGAAGACUGGGAUAAUCCCUGGAAACGGGGAUUAAGACCGGAUAGGUACAGAGAUCGCAUGAUCUUUGUAUUAAAGGUGAGAGACACUGGUGGAUGGGCUUACGGUGCAUUAGCUGGAUGGUGAGGUAACGGCCCACCAUGGCGAUGAUGCAUAGCCGGGCUGAGAGGCUGAACGGCCACAUUGGGACUGAGACACAGCCCAGACUCCUACGGGAGGCAGCAGUAGGGAAUUUUCGGCAAUGGGGGAAACCCUGACCGAGCAACGCCGCGUGAGUGAUGAAGGUCUUCGGAUUGUAAAGCUCUGUUGUAAGGGAAGAACGGCAUCUAUAGAAUAGGUGAGUGACGGUACCUUACCAGAAAGCUACGGCUAACUACGUGCCAGCAGCCGCGGUAAUACGUAGGUAGCGAGCGUUAUCCGGAAUUAUUGGGCGUAAAGGGUGCGUAGGCGGCCUGUUAAGUUUAUGGUGAAAGCGUGGGGCUCAACCCCAUAAAGCCAUAGAUACUGGCAGGCUAGAGUACUGGAGAGGGUAGUGGAAUUCCAUGUGUAGCGGUAAAAUGCGUAGAUAUAUGGAGGAACACCGGUGGCGAAGGCGGCUACCUAGACAGAGACUGACGCUGAGGCACGAAAGCGUGGGGAGCAAAUAGGAUUAGAUACCCUAGUAGUCCACGCUGUAAACGAUGAAUGCUAGGUAUCGGGGCGACCCGGUGCCGAAACUAACGCGAUAAGCAUUCCGCCUGUGGAGUAUGCACGCAAGUGUGAAACAUAAAGGAAUUGACGGGGGCCCGCACAAGCGGUGGAGUAUGUGGUUUAAUUCGACGCAACGCGAAGAACCUUACCAGGCCUUGACAUCCCUUGCGAAAUCCUGGAGACAGGAGGGAGGCUAUCAAGGAGACAGGUGGUGCAUGGUUGUCGUCAGCUCGUGUCGUGAGAUGUUGGGUUAAGUCCCGCAACGAGCGCAACCCCUGUCGCCAGUUACCAUCAUUGAGUUGGGGACUCUGGCGAGACUGCCUCUGCAAGGAGGAGGAAGGCGGGGAUGACGUCAAAUCAUCAUGCCCCUUAUGACCUGGGCCACACACGUGCUACAAUGGACGGGACAGAGGGAAGCGAAGGCGCGAGCCGGAGCGGACCCCAGAAACCCGUUCCCAGUUCGGACUGCAGUCUGCAACUCGACUGCACGAAGCCGGAAUCGCUAGUAAUCGCGGAUCAGCAUGCCGCGGUGAAUACGUUCUCGGGCCUUGCACACACCGCCCGUCA
RNAcentral lists this ribosomal RNA (1383 nucleotides) under uncultured bacterium. RNAcentral describes it as "bacterial SSU rRNA". It matches the Rfam family "Bacterial small subunit ribosomal RNA". The record is from RNAcentral.